CACAGGGUUACUCCAGCAGAGGCUAGGGAAGCGAUGCUUUCUUUAGAAGUAUGGAUAGGAGUGAUAUAUAGAGAGGUAGACAUUUGCUGCAUGACACCCCCACGUUAUUAAAUGCGUCACCAAGGUCACAGGAACACAUGUGAUGGCUUAAUUUUCCAUACUUGUCUUCUGCAGCAGACUUUGAAGUCAGCUACAAACCCCCCUCCCCAUGGCUCACUCUCACACAUCGAUGAACUUCAGAGAGAAGCAAUUGAUCACCAUACAGCUCAACAUGAGUGCGUCUACGUGGAGUUGUCACAAAAACAAAGCCAUCGCACGAAGAGGACAUGAAUCACAAGACUUAGUUGUUCUGUGCUGGAUGCAACUGAUUUGCUCAUAUCGUGUCAUAAGCUUGCUGAAGUCUCUGCUGAAGAAAGAAGAAAGAAAUAGUCCUGCAUUUAAUUGAAUUAUUUCUUUAAACUUAGUUGACCAGACAUUGUAAAUUUAAAUAUGACUUACUUUGUUUAAUUUAUAUAUGCAGGCAGA
Molecule: long non-coding RNA, 525 nt
Organism: Micropterus dolomieu (smallmouth bass)
Lineage: Eukaryota; Metazoa; Chordata; Actinopteri; Centrarchiformes; Centrarchidae
Exons: 3
Source: RefSeq, a predicted model, not a curated record